This 729-nucleotide ribosomal RNA is filed under the name uncultured bacterium. Its description in RNAcentral is "bacterial SSU rRNA". It matches the Rfam family "Bacterial small subunit ribosomal RNA", at positions 8 to 748 of the family's 1533-position model. The record is from RNAcentral.
AGAGUUUGAUCCUGGCUCAGGAUGAACGCUGGCGGCGUGCUUAACACAUGCAAGUCGGACGAUGAAGCUGGAGCUUGCUCCGGUGGAUUAGUGGCGAACGGGUGAGUAACACGUGAGCAAUCUGCCCUUGACUCUGGGAUAACUGCGGGAAACUGUAGCUAAUACCGGAUACGACGCCUUGGGGCAUCCCACGGGCGUGGAAAGAAUUUCGGUCAAGGAUGAGCUCGCGGCCUAUCAGCUAGUUGGUGAGGUAAUGGCUCACCAAGGCGACGACGGGUAGCCGGCCUGAGAGGGUGACCGGCCACACUGGGACUGAGACACGGCCCAGACUCCUACGGGAGGCAGCAGUGGGGAAUAUUGCGCAAUGGGCGAAAGCCUGACGCAGCAACGCCGCGUGAGGGAUGAAGGCCUUCGGGUUGUAAACCUCUUUUAUCAGGGAAGAAGCGAAAGUGACGGUACCUGAAGAAAAAGCACCGGCUAACUACGUGCCAGCAGCCGCGGUAAUACGUAGGGUGCAAGCGUUAUCCGGAAUUAUUGGGCGUAAAGAGCUCGUAGGCGGUUUGUCGCGUCUGCUGUGAAAAUCUGAGGCUCAACCUCGGACUUGCAGUGGGUGCGGGCAGACUAGAGUGCGGUAGGGGAGAAGGGAAUUCCUGGUGUAGCGGUGGAAUGCGCAGAUAUCAGGANGAACACCAAUGGCGANNNCACUUCUCUGGGCCGCUACUGACGCUG